Molecule: ribosomal RNA, 497 nt
Filed under: uncultured bacterium
Lineage: Bacteria
Description: partial 16S ribosomal RNA
Rfam family: Bacterial small subunit ribosomal RNA
Source: RNAcentral
GACGAACGCUGGCGGCGUGCCUAAUACAUGCAAGUUGAGCGCUGAAGGCUGGUACUUGUACCAACUGGAUGAGCAGCGAACGGGUGAGUAACGCGUGGGGAAUCUGCCUUUGAGCGGGGGACAACAUUUGGAAACGAAUGCUAAUACCGCAUAAAAACUUUAAACACAAGUUUUAAGUUUGAAAGAUGCAAUUGCAUCACUCAAAGAUGAUCCCGCGUUGUAUUAGCUAGUUGGUGAGGUAAAGGCUCACCAAGGCGAUGAUACAUAGCCGACCUGAGAGGAUGAUCGGCCAGAUUGAGACUGAGACACGGCCCAAACUCCUACGGGAGGCAGCAGUAGGGAAUCUUCGGCAAUGGACGAAAGUCUGACCGAGCAACGCCGCGUGAGUGAAGAAGGUUGUCGGAUCGUAAAACACUGUUGGUGGGGAAGAACGUUGGUGAGAGUGGAAAGCUCAUCAAGUGACGGUAACUACCCAGAAAGGGACGGCUAACUACGUG